RNAcentral lists this ribosomal RNA (461 nucleotides) under uncultured bacterium. RNAcentral describes it as "partial 16S ribosomal RNA". It matches the Rfam family "Bacterial small subunit ribosomal RNA", at positions 28 to 506 of the family's 1533-position model. The record is from RNAcentral.
GACGAACGCUGGCGGCGUGCUUAACACAUGCAAGUCGAGCGGAAAGGCCCUUCGGGGUCCUCGAGCGGCGAACGGGUGAGUAACACGUGAGUAACCUGCCCCAGACUUUGGGAUAACCCUCGGAAACGGGGGCUAAUACCGGAUACGACACAGCUUCGCAUGGGGUCUGUGUGGAAAGUUUUUCGGUUUGGGAUGGGCUCGCGGCCUAUCAGCUUGUUGGUGGGGUGAUGGCCUACCAAGGCGACGACGGGUAGCCGGCCUGAGAGGGCGACCGGCCACACUGGGACUGAGACACGGCCCAGACUCCUACGGGAGGCAGCAGUGGGGAAUAUUGCACAAUGGGCGGAAGCCUGAUGCAGCGACGCCGCGUGAGGGAUGACGGCCUUCGGGUUGUAAACCUCUUUCAGCAGGGACGAAGCGUAAGUGACGGUACCUGCAGAAGAAGCGCCGGCCAACUACGU